This 494-nucleotide ribosomal RNA is filed under the name uncultured bacterium. RNAcentral describes it as "partial 16S ribosomal RNA". It matches the Rfam family "Bacterial small subunit ribosomal RNA", at positions 28 to 507 of the family's 1533-position model. The record is from RNAcentral.
GACGAACGCUGGCGGCGUGCUUAACACAUGCAAGUCGAACGGUGAAGCGCCUUCCUUUUUGGUGGGUGUGGAUGAGUGGCGAACGGGUGAGUAACACGUGAGUAACCUGCCCCCUUCUUCUGGAUAACCGCAUGAAAGUGUGGCUAAUACGGGAUAUUCUGGGUCUGUCGCAUGAUGGGUCUGGGAAAGAUAUUGUUUCGGUGGGGGAUGGGCUCGCGGCCUAUCAGCUUGUUGGUGGGGUGAUGGCCUACCAAGGCGGUGCCGGGUAGCCGGCCUGAGAGGGUGGACGGUCACACUGGGACGGAGACACGGCCCAGACUCCUACGGGAGGCAGCAGUGGGGAAUAUUGCACAAUGGGCGCAAGCCUGAUGCAGCGACGCCGCGUGAGGGAUGGAGGCCUUCGGGUUGUGAACCUCUUUCGCCAGUGAAGCAGGCCUGCCUCGUUUGUGGGUGGGUUGACGGUAGCUGGAUAAGAAGCGCCGGCUAACUACGUG